Molecule: ribosomal RNA, 450 nt
Filed under: uncultured bacterium
Lineage: Bacteria
Description: bacterial SSU rRNA
Rfam family: Bacterial small subunit ribosomal RNA
Source: RNAcentral
GUUCCAGACUCCUACGGGAGGCAGCAGUGGGGAAUAUUGCACAAUGGGGGAAACCCUGAUGCAGCAACGCCGCGUGAGUGAAGAAGAAUUUCGGAAUGUAAAGCUCUAUCAGCAGGGAAGAAGAUGACGGUACCUGAUUAAGAAGCCCCGGCUAACUACGUGCCAGCAGCCGCGGGAAUACGUAGGGGGCAAGCGUUAUCCGGAUUUACUGGGUGUAAAGGGAGCGCAGACGGCAGUGCAAGUCUGGAGUGAAAGCCCGGGGCCCAACCCCGGAACUGCUCUGGAAACUGUGCGGCUAGAGUACUGGAGGGGCAGGCGGAAUUCCUAGUGUAGCGGUGAAAUGCGUAGAUAUUAGGAGGAACACCAGUGGCGAAGGCGGCCUACUGGACUGUAACUGACGUUGAGGCUCGAAAGCGUGGGGAGCAAACAGGAUUAGAUACCCGCGUAGCC